This 358-nucleotide long non-coding RNA is filed under the name Coturnix japonica (Japanese quail). RNAcentral's name for it is "lncRNA (ENSCJPG00005003092.1)". Lineage: Eukaryota; Metazoa; Chordata; Aves; Galliformes; Phasianidae. The record is from RNAcentral.
AACACAUCCUGUUCCUUCAAGUGCAUCAGUUGCGUGGAAUAAGGAUCUCAUUUUCACACAGCUUCUAUGGCAGGGCAACCUGACGGACCCAAAUUCAAUGAAAAUUACAUAAAAUUGAAAGAGAGCAGAUGCCAUUGUAAGUGAUGACAGGGUAGCACUCUUACUAUCAUCUACUUUGCAUAAUCAAGUUAGCAACAAAGCCAGUUAGCACAUUUGACAGCUUUUCCCAGCAAGCUGUGACUGUAAGCUCUUUGGAAGGAGAUAGAACUUCUAUUUCUCAAUUGCCUCAGCCAUUCACACCGGUUUUAUGUUCCUUGACACAAUAUCAGAGUGAUAUUUUCUUGAGGAGGAGCAACUC